Molecule: long non-coding RNA, 674 nt
Filed under: Homo sapiens (human)
Lineage: Eukaryota; Metazoa; Chordata; Mammalia; Primates; Hominidae
Description: HSALNT0377520
Source: RNAcentral
CCCGCGCCGCGUGAGGGCGGCUGGCGGGACGGCAGACAGGGGUGUGGCGGCGACUUGUCCUCCGAGGAGCCUGCAUUUAAACCCUUCCUGCCUCACUCUUCCUUUUUCCUGUUUGUCCUGCCGCUUUAAACUCUGGUUUCGCCUUCCUGUUCAUUCCAUUGCUUAUUUUAGGUCGCAAGUGCUUUAUCCACUGCUUUGAGUUUUUGACUGGAAAACCCAUAAUAUAAUCAGUCAAAACCCACACGUUGAAACACCAUAAAGUCACCCAGUCUCGGUCACCCUGGCACACACGGGGUUGUGAUCGUGACCUAGUCAUGUUUCUGACUCCGCUCAAUGGAAUGGAAUGAUUUUCUUUGGCUGUGCUGAGGUUAAUAUUGGAGGCAUAAACCCUCCGAGAAGGUAGAUGAAAAGGAGCGCGAUUCACUUCCUCCUGUUUAACAGGAAUGUGAGGACAGGUCUGGAAAAUACCCUGGCACCAGUUAACAGGUUUAAAAGGGAGUUUCAUUCAUAUAAAUGAUCAAGAUUGUGACUGGCAUAUACAGUGGAAAAGGAAGAAGGGCAAGUGUUUUACUAUAAUUUGGAACCUGAACACCUAAGUUACAAAGGCAGAAGAUCUGGCAGCUUCAACACACUUGUUUCAUUACCUUCACACCCAGGGAGGGCAAGAAGCAACA